Molecule: ribosomal RNA, 253 nt
Filed under: uncultured bacterium
Lineage: Bacteria
Description: partial 16S ribosomal RNA
Rfam family: Bacterial small subunit ribosomal RNA
Source: RNAcentral
UACAGAGGGUGCAAGCGUUAAUCGGAAUUACUGGGCGUAAAGCGCGCGUAGGUGGUUUGUUAAGUUGGAUGUGAAAUCCCCGGGCUCAACCUGGGAACUGCAUUCAAAACUGACAAGCUAGAGUAUGGUAGAGGGUGGUGGAAUUUCCUGUGUAGCGGUGAAAUGCGUAGAUAUAGGAAGGAACACCAGUGGCGAAGGCGACCACCUGGACUGAUACUGACACUGAGGCGCGAAAGCUAGGGGAGCAAACGGG